UCAAUGUCCAAUAAGGAGUACCCGCGACGAAUUCCCAAUUUUCCCUGUAAAUCCUCAUUUGGAGUAGUAGACAGACAGUGCGGACAAAAUUUCAGAGACAAAUCACAGAUUUGACCACUGAGGAAGACGCGUUGAAGCGUCGAAAGCUUUGGCAAAGAAUUUUGUGUUUUCCUGUCCUGAAAGGAUUGCACCCCCUGACGCAUCCGGAGGGAGUUCAUCUCCUUGACCUUCGUAUAUGAAUUGCCGUCAGUAAU
This is a long non-coding RNA of Phlebotomus papatasi, 254 nucleotides long. RefSeq lists it as uncharacterized. Lineage: Eukaryota; Metazoa; Arthropoda; Insecta; Diptera; Psychodidae. The record is from RefSeq and is a predicted model, not a curated record. The transcript has 3 exons.